This 898-nucleotide ribosomal RNA is filed under the name uncultured archaeon. RNAcentral describes it as "bacterial SSU rRNA". It matches the Rfam family "Archaeal small subunit ribosomal RNA", at positions 88 to 988 of the family's 1478-position model. The record is from RNAcentral.
GCUCAGUAACACGUGGACAACGUACCCUAAAGUGGAGCAUAAUCUCGGGAAACUGAGGAUAAUUCUCCAUAGACCAUGAGAUCUGGAAUGACUUAUGGUUCAAAGUUCCGGCGCUUUAGGAUCGGUCUGCGGCCUAUCAGGUAGUAGUGGGUGUAACGUACCCCCUAGCCGUUGACGGGUAUGGGCCUUGAGAGAGGGAGCCCAGAGUUGGAUUCUGAGACACGAAUCCAGGCCCUACGGGGCGCAGCAGUCGCGAAAACUUCACAAUGGGCGAAAGCCCGAUGAGGGAAUUCCUAGUGCUAGCACUUUUGUGCUAGCUUUUCUUCAGCGUAGAUAACUGGAGGAAUAAGGGCUGGGUAAGACGGGUGCCAGCCGCCGCGGUAAUACCCGCAGCCCGAGUGGUGGUCGAUUUUAUUGAGUCUAAAACGUUCGUAGCCGGUCUAAUAAAUCCUUGGGUAAAUCGGAAGGCUUAACUUUCCGAAUUCCGAGGAGACUGUUAGGCUUGGGAUCGGGAGAGGUAAGAGGUACUUCAGGGGUAGGGGUAAAAUCCUGUAAUCCUUGGAGGACCACCGGUGGCGAAGGCGUCUUACUAGAACGAAUCCGACGGUGAGGGACGAAGCCCUAGGUCGCAAACGGGAUUAGAUACCCCGGUAGUCUAGGGUGUAAACGCUGCAGACUUGGUGUUGGGGGCCCUUCGGGGGCAUUCAGUGCCGGAGAGAAGUUGUUAAGUCUGCUACUUGGGGAGUACGUCCGCAAGGAUGAAACUUAAAGGAAUUGGCGGGGGAGCACCGCAACGGGAGGAGCGUGCGGUUUAAUUGGAUUCAACACCGGAAAACUCACCAAGGGAGACCAUCACAUGAAAGCCAGGCUAAUGACUUUGCUUGAUUCUUGGAGAAGU